RNAcentral lists this ribosomal RNA (441 nucleotides) under uncultured bacterium. Its description in RNAcentral is "partial 16S ribosomal RNA". It matches the Rfam family "Bacterial small subunit ribosomal RNA", at positions 339 to 795 of the family's 1533-position model. The record is from RNAcentral.
CUACGGGGUGCUGCAGUGGGGAAUAUUGCCCAAUGGACGAAAGUCUGAGGCAGCAACGCCGCGUGUGCGAAGAAGGUCUUCGGAUUGUAAAGCACUUUUAGCAGGGAAGAGGAAGGACAGUACCUGCAGAAUAAGCCUCGGCUAACUACGGUGCCAGCAGCCGCGGUAACACGUAGGAGGCAAGCGUUAUCCGGAUUUACUGGGCGUAAAGCGCGUGCAGGCGGGUUGGUAAGUUAGAUGUGAAAUCUCCUGGCUUAACUGGGAGAGGUCGUCUAAAACUACCAGUCUGGAGUGCGAGGGAGGGAGGCAGAAUUCCGAGUGUAGUGGUGAAAUGCGUAGAUAUUCGGAGGAAUACCAGAGGCGAAGGCGGCCUCCUGGCUCGCAACUGACGCUGAGACGCGAAAGCUAGGGUAGCAAACGGGAUUAGAUACCCGCGUAGUC